RNAcentral lists this microRNA precursor (169 nucleotides) under Pelobates cultripes (western spadefoot toad). The record is from RNAcentral. Lineage: Eukaryota; Metazoa; Chordata; Amphibia; Anura; Pelobatidae.
GCAGACACAUUCCAGCCAAUCAGCAGCAGACCCUCCCUCCCAGACCCUCCCACCUCCUGGACAGCAUCCAUUUUACAUUCAGCUGUGAAGCUGCAUUCUUAGUGAGCUGUCCAGGAGGUGGGAGGGUCUGGGAGGGAGGGUCUGCUGCUGAUUGGCUGGAAUGUGUCUG